RNAcentral lists this long non-coding RNA (697 nucleotides) under Anser brachyrhynchus (Pink-footed goose). RNAcentral's name for it is "lncRNA (ENSABRG00000006278.1)". Lineage: Eukaryota; Metazoa; Chordata; Aves; Anseriformes; Anatidae. The record is from RNAcentral.
GUUGGCAAAGGUUUUAUAACAUGCUUCAUCAAAAGUACUCAUCAGCAGUGCUUAUGCUGAGAAGCACCAGUAAAUAUUCCUGAUGCUGGGGUUACAUUGGCUAGAUUAAAUGAACCUUCAAUCAUCUGUUCUUGCAUAAUGGCAUGAGGUGAGCAUCAAGCACAGCAGUUUAUUCUUACAGCACAGUCACCAGUCUGCAGCUCCAGAAGCUCCCAGAAUUGAAUGUGAUCCUACAUUAUUUCAGAAAUAAAGGAUACCAAGUAAUAAAGUUGCAACAGCAGAACAAGGACUACGAAAGAGCAACAUUGGUGUCAGUUUUUGACUGUUUAAGUCACACUAUUCUAUCAGGAGGAAGAAGUGGGAAUUUACAAGAGAAGGGCACUGCGUGCAGUGGGAGGCCCUCACAUCACCCAUCAUUGCACUGCAAGACACGUCAUUGCAACUGGUAGCACACCUGCACCAGGAUGGGCUUUUUGCACAAAAGGGGAUCAGUGUGCUCUUCAGGACUGCAGCAUGAUCUUACAUUGCAUGGGUACUUCUGAGAUGGUGAUAAACCAUAAAUCUGAGGUGGCAUAAACCAUGAAUGAAGAGGAAAAGGUAGGGGAGGUGGGAAGACUGCAGCAACCUCAGCCUGUUAUGCAACUCUUACACUAUUGAAGAAAAUAAAUGUAUGUGUGGAUCCUGAGAAAUUUCUACU